This 565-nucleotide ribosomal RNA is filed under the name uncultured bacterium. RNAcentral's name for it is "bacterial SSU rRNA". It matches the Rfam family "Bacterial small subunit ribosomal RNA", at positions 337 to 916 of the family's 1533-position model. The record is from RNAcentral.
UCCUACGGGAGGCAGCAGAGGGGAAUUUUCCGCAAUGGGCGAAAGCCUGACGGAGCAACGCCGCGUGAGGGACGAAGGCCUCUGGGCUGUAAACCUCUUUUCUCAAGGAAGAAGAUCUGACGGUACUUGAGGAAUAAGCCACGGCUAAUUCCGUGCCAGCAGCCGCGGUAAUACGGGAGUGGCAAGCGUUAUCCGGAAUUACUGGGCGUAAAGCGUCCGCAGGCGGCCUUUCAAGUCUGCUGUUAAAACGUGGAGCUUAACUCCAUCAAGGCAGUGGAAACUGUUGGGCUUGAGUGUGGUAGGGGCAGAGGGAAUUCCCGGUGUAGUGGUGAAAUGCGUAGAUAUCGGGAAGAACACCAGUGGCGAAGGCGCUCUGCUGGGCCAUAACUGACGCUCAUGGACGAAAGCCAGGGGAGCGAAAGGGAUUAGAUACCCCUGUAGUCCUGGCCGUAAACGAUGAACACUAGGUGUCGGGGGAAUCGACCCCUUCGGUGUCGUAGCCAACGCGUUAAGUGUUCCGCCUGGGGAGUACGCACGCAAGUGUGAAACUCAAAUGAAUUGACGG